AAUAUUUGAUCUUAGGUGCAUUUCCCUCUGGAAUAUUAUUGUUUGGGUAUGACCGGACAACUACCGAUAUCUAUUAAUUUCUUUUCUUAGAAUGUUCUUUAGAAAUAUAUAUCUAUCUAUCUAUAUCGUAAACUAUCGGAUCGGGUAUUACAACAAUGUGAAACUUCCAGACCUCAUUGGUUGUAAUAUUUAUCUUACGGGGG
RNAcentral lists this long non-coding RNA (203 nucleotides) under Capsicum annuum. Its description in RNAcentral is "long non-coding RNA (CANN_LNC007652)". Lineage: Eukaryota; Viridiplantae; Streptophyta; Magnoliopsida; Solanales; Solanaceae. The record is from RNAcentral.